GCAGGUGGGGCUUAGUGGUUGAGCACCAGCCUAUGAACCAGGAGGUCACUGUUUGAGUCAGGGCACAUGCC
This 71-nucleotide transfer RNA is filed under the name Myotis davidii. It matches the Rfam family "tRNA". From Rfam's summary of the family: Transfer RNA (tRNA) molecules are approximately 80 nucleotides in length. Their secondary structure includes four short double-helical elements and three loops (D, anti-codon, and T loops). Lineage: Eukaryota; Metazoa; Chordata; Mammalia; Chiroptera; Vespertilionidae. The record is from Rfam by way of RNAcentral.